UGGGCUUAACAGAGGAUAGACGUUCCAGUGGGUCCUCAGAAAGUUUUGAUCUCGGCGGACUUGACGGAUUGAAAGCUCUUUUCUCACAGAUGUUCCCAGGUGUGCCUACUACCAUGUUAGAUAGCUUACUCAGUAAAGCAGGGGACAUGGGAGGAUCAGGGUCUGGCAGUAAUAGUAAAAGAUCCAGUGGUUCCGGAGAAGGUUUUGAUCUUGGCGAACUUGACGAUUGAAAGCUCUUUCUCACAGAUGUUCCCAGGUGUGCCUACUACCAUGUUAGAUAGCUUACUCAGUAAAGUAGGGGACAUGGGAGGAUCAGGGUCUGGCAGUAGUAGGAAAAGAUCCAGUGGUUCCGGAGAAAGUUUUUUGAAAGGACUCCUGGCAAAAUUCUUUGGAUCUGGCAGUUUCAGCAAACGAUCCAGUAGUUCCGAAGAGGAUUUCGACGCAUGAAAGCUCUGUUGUCACAGAUGGAUCCAGACGUGCUCUCUUUACUGUUGGCGGCAGCAGGCCAGAAGAAGUAAUUAACAUUGCCACAGAUGACCAGAGCUUGAUUAAACGUGAAGCGUUCAUAUGAGCAAACUGUUAACGAGUGUCCUCAAAUCAGGACAGAAGAAAGCUUCGUUGCAACACGAUUUAACGGCUUAUGUUGUAUUUCUUUGAACUGUUAAUAAAAUCGUUGUAUAAAAUCAA
Long non-coding RNA from Liolophura sinensis, 687 nucleotides. RefSeq lists it as uncharacterized. The record is from RefSeq and is a predicted model, not a curated record. The transcript is spliced from 2 exons. Lineage: Eukaryota; Metazoa; Mollusca; Polyplacophora; Chitonida; Chitonidae.